Molecule: non-coding RNA, 91 nt
Organism: Podarcis lilfordi (Lilford's wall lizard)
Lineage: Eukaryota; Metazoa; Chordata; Lepidosauria; Squamata; Lacertidae
Source: the annotation of a GenBank genome assembly
AGGUAUCAAAUCCAAACUCCUCCUCCUCUUCUUCUUCUUCCUUGCACAUGCUUAUAGGAGGAGGAGGAGGAGGAGUUUGGAUUUGAUACCC